AGUGGUCUAAAAAGCUUGAUUUUAAAAGAGAAUUGUUCUGCAGUUUUUAUUCAUGGUUUUGCCCAUCAACUCCAAUUAGCUCUUGUGGCAUUAGCAAAAAAGCAUUCUAAAAUUGCUUUAUUCCUUAAUUUGGUUGCUAAUUUGUAUAAUGUUGUUGGAGCAUCAUGUAAGCGCCAAGAUAUUCUCCAUGAAAGUCAAGCUACAAAGGUGAAACAAAUAUUCGAACUAGGGAC
This 233-nucleotide long non-coding RNA is filed under the name Lathyrus oleraceus (garden pea). Its description in RNAcentral is "Pisum sativum (pea) long non-coding RNA (PSAT_LNC015799)". The record is from RNAcentral. Lineage: Eukaryota; Viridiplantae; Streptophyta; Magnoliopsida; Fabales; Fabaceae.